GAUGAACGCUGACAGAAUGCUUAACACAUGCAAGUCAACUUGAAUUUGGGUUUUUAACUUAGAUUUGGGUGGCGGACGGGUGAGUAACGCGUAAAGAACUUGCCUCACAGCUAGGGACAACAUUUAGAAAUGAAUGCUAAUACCUGAUAUUAUGAUUUUAAGGCAUCUUAGAAUUAUGAAAGCUAUAAGCACUGUGAGAGAGCUUUGCGUCCUAUUAGCUAGUUGGAGAGGUAACAGCUCACCAAGGCGAUGAUGGGUAGCCGGCCUGAGAGGGUGAACGGCCACAAGGGGACUGAGACACGGCCCUUACUCCUACGGGAGGCAGCAGUGGGGAAUAUUGGACAAUGGACCGAGAGUCUGAUCCAGCAAUUCUGUGUGCACGAUGAAGUUUUUCGGAAUGUAAAGUGCUUUCAGUUGGGAAGAAAAAAAUGACGGUACCAACAGAAGAAGUGACGGCUAAAUACGUGCCAGCAGCCGCGGUAAUACGUAUGUCACGAGCGUUAUCCGGAUUUAUUGGGCGUAAAGCGCGUCUAGGUGGUUAUGUAAGUCUGAUGUGAAAAUGCAGGGCUCAACUCUGUAUUGCGUUGGAAACUGUGUAACUAGAGUACUGGAGAGGUAAGCGGAACUACAAGUGUAGAGGUGAAAUUCGUAGAUAUUUGUAGGAAUGCCGAUGGGGAAGCCAGCUUACUGGACAGAUACUGACGCUAAAGCGCGAAAGCGUGGGUAGCAAACAGG
Molecule: ribosomal RNA, 735 nt
Filed under: uncultured Fusobacterium sp.
Lineage: Bacteria; Fusobacteriati; Fusobacteriota; Fusobacteriia; Fusobacteriales; Fusobacteriaceae
Description: bacterial SSU rRNA
Rfam family: Bacterial small subunit ribosomal RNA
Source: RNAcentral